UUGUCUCAAAGAUUAAGCCAUGCAUGUCUCAGUACGAGCCACAUUAAGGUGAAACCGCGAAAGGCUCAUUAAAUCAGUUAUGGUUCCUUAGAUCGUACCCACAUUUACUUGGAUAACUGUGGUAAUUCUAGAGCUAAUACAUGCAGAUAGAGCUCCGACCGGAGACGGAAGGAGUGCUUUUAUUAGAACAAAACCAAUCGGCGGCGGGCGCGUUCGCGCGUUCGUUCGCCGCUCUACCUGGUGAAUCUGAAUAACUUUCAGCUGAUCGCACGGUCUCGAACCGGCGACGCAUCUUUCAAAUGUCUGCCUUAUCAACUGUCGAUGGUAGGUUCUGCGCCUACCAUGGUCGUAACGGGUAACGGGGAAUCAGGGUUCGAUUCCGGAGAGGGAGCCUGAGAAACGGCUACCACAUCCAAGGAAGGCAGCAGGCGCGCAAAUUACCCACUCCCGGCACGGGGAGGUAGUGACGAAAAAUAACGAUACGGGACUCAUCCGAGGCCCCGUAAUCGGAAUGAGUACACUUUAAAUCCUUUAACGAGGACCCAUUGGAGGGCAAGUCUGGUGCCAGCAGCCGCGGUAAUUCCAGCUCGAAUAGCGUA
Molecule: ribosomal RNA, 599 nt
Filed under: Allodessus megacephalus
Lineage: Eukaryota; Metazoa; Arthropoda; Insecta; Coleoptera; Dytiscidae
Also listed under: 1 other name
Description: SSU rRNA
Rfam family: Eukaryotic small subunit ribosomal RNA
Source: RNAcentral